This 664-nucleotide ribosomal RNA is filed under the name uncultured bacterium. RNAcentral describes it as "bacterial SSU rRNA". It matches the Rfam family "Bacterial small subunit ribosomal RNA", at positions 123 to 813 of the family's 1533-position model. The record is from RNAcentral.
AACCUGCCCCGAAGAGGGGGAUAACCAUCCGAAAGGGUGGCUAAUACCCCAUAUACUCCGAUUUAUUCGGAGGAAAGCUUUCGCGCUUCGGGAGGGGCCUGCGUAACAUUAGCUUGUUGGUGAGGUAAAAGCUCACCAAGGCUACGAUGUUUAGCUGGUUUGAGAGGAUGAUCAGCCACACUGGGACUGAGAUACGGCCCAGACUCCUACGGGAGGCAGCAGUGAGGAAUAUUCCACAAUGGGGGCAACCCUGAUGGAGCGAUGCCGCGUGCAGGAAGACGCUUUUCGGAGUGUAAACUGCUUUUAACAGGGAAGAUUAUGACGGUGCCUGUAGAAUAAGGACCGGCUAACUACGUGCCAGCAGCCGCGGUAAUACGUAGGGUCCAAGCGUUAUUCGGAAUUACUGGGCGUAAAGCGUUCGUAGGCGGUUUGAUAAGUUGGAUGUGAAAUCCUGUGGCUCAACCACAUGGACUGUGUCCAAAACUAUCUAACUAGAGCAUAGUAGAGGCAAGUGGAAUUUCUGGUGUAGGAGUGACAUCCGUAGAUAUCAGAAGGAACACCAAUGGCGAAGGCAGCUUGCUGGGCUAUUGCUGACGCUCAGGAACGAAAGCGUGGGGAGCGAACGGGAUUAGAUACCCCGGUAGUCCACGCCGUAAACGAUGAU